AACGAACGCUGGCGGCAGGCCUAACACAUGCAAGUCGAGCGGACCUUUCGGGGUCAGCGGCGGACGGGUGAGUAACGCGUGGGAAUAUGCCCUUCUCUACGGAAUAGUCCUGGGAAACUGGGGGUAAUACCGCAUACGCCCUUUGGGGGAAAGAUUUAUCGGGGAAGGAUUAGCCCGCGUUGGAUUAGGUAGUUGGUGGGGUAAUGGCCUACCAAGCCGACGAUCCAUAGCUGGUUUGAGAGGAUGAUCAGCCACACUGGGACUGAGACACGGCCCAGACUCCUACGGAAGGCAGCAGUGGGGAAUCUUAGACAAUGGGGGCAACCCUGAUCUAGCCAUGCCGCGUGAGUGAUGAAGGCCUUAGGGUUGUAAAGCUCUUUCAGCUGGGAAGAUAAUGACGGUACCAGCAGAAGAAGCCCCGGCUAACUCCGUG
RNAcentral lists this ribosomal RNA (433 nucleotides) under uncultured bacterium. Its description in RNAcentral is "partial 16S ribosomal RNA". It matches the Rfam family "Bacterial small subunit ribosomal RNA", at positions 29 to 507 of the family's 1533-position model. The record is from RNAcentral.